RNAcentral lists this ribosomal RNA (449 nucleotides) under uncultured bacterium. RNAcentral's name for it is "bacterial SSU rRNA". It matches the Rfam family "Bacterial small subunit ribosomal RNA", at positions 62 to 543 of the family's 1533-position model. The record is from RNAcentral.
UCGCACGAGAAAGGGGAGCAAUCCCUGAGUAAAGUGGCGUACGGGUGAGUAACACGUGGGUAAUCUACCUCUUUGUGGGGAAUAACCCUGGGAAACCGGGGCUAAUACCGCAUAAGCCCGAGAGGGGAAAGCAGCAAUGCGCUGAGAGAGGAGCCCGCGGCCGAUUAGCUAGUUGGUGAGGUAACGGCCCACCAAGGCAAAGAUCGGUAGCCGGCCUGAGAGGGCACACGGCCACACUGGCACUGAAACACGGGCCAGACUCCUACGGGAGGCAGCAGUGGGGAAUCUUGCACAAUGGGGGAAACCCUGAUGCAGCGACGCCGCGUGAGCGAUGAAGCCCUUCGGGGUGUAAAGCUCUUUCGGCAGGGAAGAUUAUGACGGUACCUGCAGAAGCAGCUGCGGCUAACUACGUGCCAGCAGCCGCGGUAAUACGUAGGCAGCAAGCGUUG